This 280-nucleotide ribosomal RNA is filed under the name uncultured bacterium. RNAcentral's name for it is "partial 16S ribosomal RNA". It matches the Rfam family "Bacterial small subunit ribosomal RNA", at positions 28 to 309 of the family's 1533-position model. The record is from RNAcentral.
GACGAACGCUGGCGGCGUGCUUAACACAUGCAAGUCGAGCGGUAAGGCCCUUUCGGGGGUACACGAGCGGCGAACGGGUGAGUAACACGUGGGUGACCUGCCCUCAGCUCUGGGAUAAGCCUGGGAAACCGGGUCUAAUACUGGAUAUGACUCCAUGACGCAUGUUGUGGGGUGGAAAGCCUUGUGCGGCUGAGGAUGGGCCCGCGGCCUAUCAGCUUGUUGGUGGGGUGANGGCCUACCAAGGCGACGACGGGUAGCCGGCCUGAGAGGGCGACCGGCC